Molecule: long non-coding RNA, 709 nt
Organism: Cucurbita moschata (crookneck pumpkin)
Lineage: Eukaryota; Viridiplantae; Streptophyta; Magnoliopsida; Cucurbitales; Cucurbitaceae
Exons: 3
Source: RefSeq, a predicted model, not a curated record
AGUCGGUGGCUGUUAGAACGACGGUCGGGCUUCCUUGCAAGCACCACAAGAUGUGGUCAACACAUCUAAGCUCAUAGCAAGCUCCACAGACGAAGGAGAAGAGUACCUGUAACAAUGGACCCAUCUGUUUCUUUGGAGUAUGUUGCAGUAGCAGAUUUCCACUCUUCAUCCUUAGCCGCAAAGAGAUUGGGUGUUUGCAGAAGAACCAAGUAGACUACUACAGCUACAAAGGCAGCCAUUAAAGAGAAUAUAAGGUCUUGAAGAAGCCUGUGCAGUAUGUAUACCUAAAAUCAGGCUUCUCUGAUUGCCGGAGCACUGUCCUGAAAAUAGAAAAACUUUGACAAAUCUCCAAUUUUGCAGCCCUUCGUUCACAUUGGUGGCGCGUUUAACGAGGCUAAGGAAAAGACACGCACCCUGUUCUUGUAUCUUCUAGGCCGCCGUUAAUGGGGGCUCAACGAAGCAAACUUGGAGCCUCCAUUUCUGCCAUUAUCGAGGUAGAACGAAGGGUUUGAGGCUUUAUGAAAAUGGCGGCGGCAGAUACAGAGGCUACAGAGCAGAAAGCCAUGGAAGCCAGGUAUGUGUUCCUUUGCAUUUUAAGACCCAUGGAUAUAAAGAAACUUAAGUUAAUAAGAACUCAAAAAGUGGCCUGUCUUGGUUUUGAUUGUUGGACCCGAAUGUGUUUUUAAAAGAGUGGCUUUUGGUGGUUUAA